This 423-nucleotide ribosomal RNA is filed under the name uncultured bacterium. Its description in RNAcentral is "partial 16S ribosomal RNA". It matches the Rfam family "Bacterial small subunit ribosomal RNA", at positions 338 to 778 of the family's 1533-position model. The record is from RNAcentral.
CCUACGGGUGGCAGCAGUGGGGAAUAUUGCACAAUGGGGGAAACCCUGAUGCAGCGACGCCGCGUGAAGGAAGAAGUAUUUCGGUAUGUAAACUUCUAUCAGCAGGGAAGAAAAUGACGGUACCUGACUAAGAAGCCCCGGCUAACUACGUGCCAGCAGCCGCGGUAAUACGUAGGGGGCAAGCGUUAUCCGGAUUUACUGGGUGUAAAGGGAGCGUAGGCGGUGCAGCAAGUCAGAAGUGAAAUCCCGGGGCUAAACUCCGGGACUGCUUUGGAAACGGUUGAACUAGAUUGCAGGAGGGGUAAGUGGAAUUCAGGGGGAAGCGGGGAAAGGGGUAGAUAUUAGGAGGAAAACCAGUGGGGAGGGCGGCUUACUGGACUGUAAAUGACGCUGGGGCUCGAAAGCGUGGGGAGCAAACAGAAU